UAUCAAGUAGCAGACAUGAAUAAAUCAGGCAGUUACCACAUCCCACAAGACCAAUGAGGGAAACCCUGCUCACAUCCACAUGCUGAAAUGAGAGAGCUCUGGGCAGAGCAGUGUCUCUCCAUGGGGAGCUUCCAGUACCUCGUUCCCACUGGAAGUUGUAUGCCAUGGGCUAAAAAAUAGUAACCCUGUUGGAAAUGGUUUUCCUCCUAGCUGGUCUCAAAGGGGAAGUGUCUUUAAUGCCCUUAGCUGUUUGCUGCUCUCCUCCCUCCCCCUCUUACAAGGCUGAGGUCAGCCUGCCCCAGGACAAAGAGUCUUGGAGGACACUUGAGAUAAACAGGCUUGAGUCUGGGACAAGUGGACUCUUGUUCCCAAGAGUCAGCUCUCAACAUGGACAAACAGCACGUGACAGUUUACCAAUAUAAUUAUAUUACAGGAUCCCAGGUAUCCUGUAAAUUCAAGGUCAUCCUAAGCAUCAUAGCAAGUUCAAGGCCAGCCCUGGGUUACAAGACACCCUGUUUUAAGAAAAAAGGAGAAAAAAAAAAGAUUUAACUGAGUGUAAUAGCUCAUACCUUUAAUCCCAGUACUCUGGGAGUCAGGGGAAGAUGGGUCUGUUGUGAGUUCAAGGCCACCCUGGUCUAUACAGAGAGAGACCUAAGUUAGCCAGGGUGACAUAGUAAACCCCUGUCUCAAAAGGGGGCAGGUACUGGGAUUGUGGCUCAGUUGGUAGAGUGCCUGCCUAGUACACAGGCCUUGUGUUCAAUCAUCAGCACAAACCUGUCAUUCCAGCACUCCCGAGGGAGAGGUGCGGUGACCACAAGCCAGGGUCAUCCUCAGCUACAUGGUGACCCAGAAGCCGGUAGAGGAAAUGGGGAGGAUGAUUUAAAAGCAGGCUGUAUCCACCCUUCCCCAUACACACAUACUCCAGCCCCAAGGAUAGGAAAUGACCAUCAGUGCUUCCCAGCGCUGCCUGGAAACUAUGUCCCCAGCAGAGUGCCAGGUCCACAAAUAGAGUGAAUAUUUACUCAUGGGAACAUUUGCUGGUAAUUGGAAGCUUAUUAUCAUGGCACAAGCAUCACACAUCGGGUACAACAGUUGUGCCAGAAGCACAGGGGCACAUUUGGGAAGUAGGGGAAAGGUAAAAGAUACGGACAGACCAGGGUCACACCGAGCUUUAUUGGGCUCGGAGUGCAGGAAAUCAAUGGUGACCCUGGAGUCUGGGAAAGGGGUUAUAGUAACCACAUGAAAAGUUGCAAAGAGCAAAAUGAAGCGUGGUGAGAUCAUGUAUUGACCAGGUGGUGGAUCAGGUAGUUCAAGGUCAUCCUCAAUUACAUAGUACAUUCUAGGCCAGCCUGGGCUGCAUGAGACCCCAUUUCAAAAAGACAAAACACAUAAACAGAACAAAACGAGAUUAACCCUGUUAUUUUCAAAUUAUUAAGUGGAAGUGUCUUAGUUACCUUUCUGCUGCUAUGACAAAUGACCUAACGAAGCAGCUUAGGAAGGAAGGACUCAGAUGGUUGGUCACAUGGUAUCUGAAGUCAGGGAGCAGAAAAUAAUGGAUGCUGCUGCUGGCCUGACUUUCUCCUUUUUAUCCAGUCCAGGCCACCAGCCCAAGGAAUCACUAAUAUUUAUCGUGGGCCUUCCCACCUCAGUUAACUGAUCUAGAUAACCUCUCACCAACGAGCUCAGAGGCUUGUCUCUGGUUAUUCUAGACCUUGUCAAGUUGACAGGCAAGAAUAACUGUCAGCUCCCCUCACCUGUGCUGGCACAAGCACUCCUGAUUAAAUGCUGUGGGAUCAAGGAAAGAUAUGGAAGUAGGAGGGGGCUUGUUGGGGGAACGGGGUAAAGUAGGCUGUUGAGGGGAUGUGAUCAAAGUACAUUGUGUGUGUGUGUGAGAGAGAGAGUGUGUGUGUGUGUGAGAGAGAGAGAGUGUGUGUGUGUAUGAAUGUGUGUGUAAAUGUGUGUGUGAGUGUGUUUAUAUACACAUGCAUGUAUGCAUGCACAGUACACCAGAAGAAGAUAUCUUGUGGGAGUUCAUUCUCUCCUUUUGCCAUGUAGGUCCUGGGGAUCAAAUUCAGAUCUUCAGAUUUGGUGGCAAACUGGCUGAGUCAUCUCACCAGCUCCCUUACAGUAACCUGGAACUAUAAGGCUGUUGUGCAAACAAAGGUGACUAAGGCCUCUGCAGCAACCUGUGCUCUGGUUUCACCGCCUUCCACGCCAGUCUUUCCCACCUGAUCCCGUUACAUCUCCCCGUGUCUCCUUUAUCGCUUCCAGUCUGCAGGAGCGUUUAUUUUACCCUGAGUUGUUCUUUGUCUUUUACUACCUUGACAUAUUAAAGGAGCUAUUUUGUAGAGUAUCCCUCAA
Mesocricetus auratus (golden hamster) is the source of this 2361-nucleotide long non-coding RNA. RefSeq lists it as uncharacterized. Lineage: Eukaryota; Metazoa; Chordata; Mammalia; Rodentia; Cricetidae. The transcript has 2 exons. The record is from RefSeq and is a predicted model, not a curated record.